RNAcentral lists this ribosomal RNA (366 nucleotides) under uncultured eukaryote. RNAcentral's name for it is "partial 18S ribosomal RNA". It matches the Rfam family "Eukaryotic small subunit ribosomal RNA", at positions 592 to 976 of the family's 1831-position model. The record is from RNAcentral.
CAAUAGCGUAUAUUAACGUUGUUGCAGUUAAAAAGCUCGUAGUUGGAUUUCUGGAGGGAGCGUCGGCCCGUAUUUACGAGUGCGUGACGUCUCUGUCCAUCCUUGCGGGAAGGCACGGCAUUGAUUUGUUGUGUCGGAUCGCAUCAUUUACUGUGAAAAAAUUAGGAUGUUCAAAGCAGGCUUUCGCUUGAAUACAUUAGCAUGGAAUAAUAAGAUAGGACUUUGGUGCUAUUUUGUUGGUUGAGCCUAAAGUAAUGAUUAAUAGGGAUAGUUGGGGGCACCUGUAUUGCGUUGUCAGAGGUGAAAUUCUUGGAUUUACGCAAGACAAACAGCUGCGAAANCGNNNGCCAAGGAUGUUUUCAUNAA